RNAcentral lists this transfer RNA (87 nucleotides) under Myxococcota bacterium. RNAcentral's name for it is "tRNA-Leu". It matches the Rfam family "tRNA". From Rfam's summary of the family: Transfer RNA (tRNA) molecules are approximately 80 nucleotides in length. Their secondary structure includes four short double-helical elements and three loops (D, anti-codon, and T loops). Lineage: Bacteria; Pseudomonadati; Myxococcota. The record is from RNAcentral.
GCCCGGGUGGCGGAAUUGGUAGACGCGCCAGCCUCAGGAGCUGGUGAGGGCAACCUCGUGCUGGUUCGAAUCCAGUCCCGGGCACCA